GAUCAUGGCUCAGGAUGAACGCUAGCGACAGGCUUAACACAUGCAAGUCGGAGGGGCAGCAUGAGGUAGCAAUACCUUGAUGGCGACCGGCGCACGGGUGAGUAACGCGUAUGCAACCUGCCUGAUACCGGGGUAUAGCCCAUGGAAACGUGGAUUAACACCCCAUAGUACUUUUAUCCUGCCUGGGAUGUGAGUUAAAUGUUCAAGGUAUCGGAUGGGCAUGCGUCCUA
Molecule: ribosomal RNA, 230 nt
Filed under: uncultured bacterium
Lineage: Bacteria
Description: partial 16S ribosomal RNA
Rfam family: Bacterial small subunit ribosomal RNA
Source: RNAcentral